AAUUAUCGGAGCCAACCUUGGUGCGAGCCAAGUACGGAAAGCUACAGAUCUCGGCUGAUGUACUUAGUUGAGAUGGCUGAGUUGCAUUU
Molecule: non-coding RNA, 89 nt
Filed under: Methylophaga thalassica MP
Lineage: Bacteria; Pseudomonadati; Pseudomonadota; Gammaproteobacteria; Thiotrichales; Piscirickettsiaceae
Description: Methylophaga aminisulfidivorans MP c-di-GMP-I riboswitch aptamer
Rfam family: c-di-GMP-I riboswitch aptamer
About the family: GEMM was predicted in a large-scale screen for bacterial structured RNA regulatory elements. Genes associated with GEMM are involved in a diverse array of functions, including chemotaxis regulation, signal transduction, secretion and chitin.
Source: Rfam by way of RNAcentral